RNAcentral lists this long non-coding RNA (316 nucleotides) under Sarcophilus harrisii (Tasmanian devil). RNAcentral describes it as "lncRNA (ENSSHAG00000027985.1)". The record is from RNAcentral. Lineage: Eukaryota; Metazoa; Chordata; Mammalia; Dasyuromorphia; Dasyuridae.
CUGAAAAGGAGCCCUUAAUAAUCCUGCCCUCCUUCCUUACUGGCAUUUUUCUAAAGAAGGAAGGGAGCCAUCCACAUGACAAUUACUAUUUCAUGGAGAGGAAAAAGGAAAAAAACCAAAUUGAUACAUUGAAAAAGUCUGAAAAAUACUAUAUUACUGUAACAGUUGUACAGUCUCCACCUCCAAAAAGAGUAUCUACAUUCUCCAAUACAUUCUUCUCUCCAUCACUCUAUUAUCUCCAGAAGAUCCAAUUCCAGUUUCAGCUCUUACCAGAGAAUACAAUCUACUUAAAUCCAAUAAACAUUUAUCAGCUGGC